RNAcentral lists this small nucleolar RNA (219 nucleotides) under Tetranychus urticae (two-spotted spider mite). RNAcentral describes it as "snoRNA tetur04g09444". Lineage: Eukaryota; Metazoa; Arthropoda; Arachnida; Trombidiformes; Tetranychidae. The record is from RNAcentral.
AAGGACACUUUUACCCAGCAUCAUCUAUCUCAAGUGGAGUUAGGAUGGAGGAGGAGAUGUCAAAGAGAUGUAGGAUAAUGAUAGAAGAUCUGAAGGACUUUCAUCUUUUCACGUUAUCAUUAGCCUCCAUCUCUUUGACAUCUCCUCUUUCAUCCUAACUCCACUUGAGAUGGAUGAUGGUGGGCUAAAGUGCCCUUAUCACCCCCGCCCUUCAUAUUU